GAUGAACGCUGGCGGCGUGCCUAAUACAUGCAAGUAGAACGCUGAAGGAAGGAGCUUGCUCUUUCCGGAUGAGUUGCGAACGGGUGAGUAACGCGUAGGUAACCUGCCUGGUAGCGGGGGAUAACUAUUGGAAACGAUAGCUAAUACCGCAUAACAGUAGAUGUUGCAUGAUAUCUACUUAAAAGGUGCAAUUGCACCACUACCAGAUGGACCUGCGUUGUAUUAGCUAGUUGGUGAGGUAACGGCUCACCAAGGCGACGAUACAUAGCCGACCUGAGAGGGUGAUCGGCCAAACUGGGACUGAGACACGGCCCAGACUCCUACGGGAGGCAGCAGUAGGGAAUCUUCGGCAAUGGACGGAAGUCUGACCGAGCAACGCCGCGUGAGUGAAGAAGGUUGUCGGAUCGUAAAGCUCUGUUGUAAGGGAAGAACGAGUGUGAGAGUGGAAAGUUCACACUGUGACGGUAUCUUACCAGAAAGGGACGGCUAACUACGUG
This 497-nucleotide ribosomal RNA is filed under the name uncultured bacterium. Its description in RNAcentral is "partial 16S ribosomal RNA". It matches the Rfam family "Bacterial small subunit ribosomal RNA", at positions 28 to 507 of the family's 1533-position model. The record is from RNAcentral.